This 511-nucleotide ribosomal RNA is filed under the name Paenibacillus illinoisensis. RNAcentral describes it as "bacterial SSU rRNA". It matches the Rfam family "Bacterial small subunit ribosomal RNA", at positions 38 to 519 of the family's 1533-position model. Lineage: Bacteria; Bacillati; Bacillota; Bacilli; Caryophanales; Paenibacillaceae. The record is from RNAcentral.
AGGUGGAACGUAUUUGGUAUCCGCGUCAAUGCCAUCCAGCGGAGUUGACGGGGGCUUGCUCCUCUGAUGGUUAGGGGCGGACGGGUGAGUAACACGUAGGCAACCUGCCCUCCAGCUUGGGACAACUACCGGAAACGGUAGCUAAUACCGAAUACUUGCUUUCUUCGCCUGAAGGAAGCUGGAAAGACGGAGCAAUCUGUCACUUGAGGAUGGGCCUGCGGCGCAUUAGCUAGUUGGUGAGGUAACGGCUCACCAAGGCGACGAUGCGUAACCGACCUGAGAGGGUGAUCGGCCACACUGGGACUGACACACGGCCCACACUCCUACGGGAGGCAGCAGUAGGGAAUCUUCCGCAAUGGGCGAAAGCCUGACGGAGCAAUGCCGCGUGAGUGAUGAAGGUUUUCGGAUCGUAAAGCUCUGUUGCCAGGGAAGAACGUCCUUGAAAGUAACUGCUCAAGGAGUGACGGUACCUGAAAAAAAAGCCCCGGCUAACUACGUGCCAGCAGCCGCA